AGGCCUUGCCCAUGCCCCAUUUUACAGAAGAGGAAACGGAGGCGCAGAGAGAAGAAAUAACUUGCUGAGGGUCCGAACCAGGCUCAGAACCCAGGUUUCCUGGCUCCUCAGCUGAUCCCUUCUCUCCUCCCCAUGCCCCGGAACCUCAGGCUUUGCCUAAUGAACUGAAGUUCUGGGGCUAGAGCUGUCCUUUUGUGACUGCUCUCCCUGACCUUUGGGGAGGUGACAUAGCGCACAGAAGGGCUCAGUUGCCCCCAGAGUGCCAACGCUGGAAUUUAUAGGAGUUCUCAAUCUAUUUUGGGAGUGGAGUGCACAUUAGGAGUUUUGUGUUGAACCUAUGUUUGCAAUAUUUAUUUUAAAAAAUCGUAUGUGUAUUGGGGGUGCCUGGAAGUGGAGGGGGCGCUCUGGAAGGGCCUAAAUCCCCGAACAGUCCACCCCUCAGUGCCUGGGUGCCACCUGGGAGCUUUGAGCCCAGCCCAGCAAGGUAUGGGUUGCAAGAACUGGCUGGGGAUAUAGUAGAUUGAGCAUCUCUUGGGGGAAAGGCAGAGGCUAAGAAUCAAUACUUCCACCACCUGCAGAUCAAAGAGAGCAUCACUCCCCCCAACCCACUACCCACCCCUUCCAGCCCACCUUAGGGCAAAUUCUUCCAACUCCCCAUCUACAGCACAUAGCCCUGCCACACGCAUCUCUUUGCUCAGCCCACCGUUGAGAUCGUUCACUCACUAUGCUUUCAGUGGUCGAAUGAAUUCCAUCAAAUGGAUAUGCUGUUAUUUACUUAUUCAUUCCCCUACUGGUAAUUUCCAUUUCCCAACUGCAAUGUAUGAGGAUUCUGAUUUCUCCACAUCCUCACCAAUGCUUGUUAUUGUUGAUUUUUUUUUUUUUAAGUAUAGUAACCCAGCGUGGAGUGGUGUCUUGUGAUUUUAUUUGCACUUCCCUGACGUUCGGCAUCUUUUCAUGUGCUUUUUGCCUAUUUGUGUACCUUCUCUGGAGAAAUGUCUAUUCAAAUCCUUUAUCCAUUUUUAAAUUGUCUUUAUUAUUGAGUUGUAAGAGUUCUUUAUAUGCUCUGGUUACAAGCCCCUUAUCAGAUACUUGAUUUGCAAAAGUUUUUUUCCCAUUAUGUGGCUUGUCUUUUCACUUUCUUAGUGGUAUCAUUUGUAGCACCAAAGUUUUACAUUUUUAUGUAAUCCAAUAUAAUCUAUUUUUUAGUUAUGUACGGGUUUUUUGUGUCAACAUGUUUCUUUUUUUCAAAUUUGUUUGUGGUAAAAUACAUAUAAUGUAAAAUUGAUCAUUAAGCAUUUUAAGUGUAUUGUUCAGUGGUAUUAACUACAUUCCUAAUGCUAUGCAGCCAUCACCACCAUCCAUCUCCACAGCUCUUUUCAUCUUUUAAAACUGAAACUAUAUCCAUUAAGCAAUAAUGCUGGCCGGGUGUGGUGGCUCACACCUGUAAUCCCAACACUUUGGGAGGUCAAGGCGGGCGGAUCACAAAGUCAGGAGUUUGAGGUCACCCUAGCCAACAUGGUGAAACCCUGUCUCUACUAAAAAUACAAAAUUAGCAGGGUGUGGUGGCACACAGCUGUAGUCCCAGUGACUCAGGAGGCUGAGUCAGGAGAAUUGCUGGUACCAAGGAGGCAGAGGUUGCAGUGAGCCAAGAUCAUGCCACUGCACUCCAGCCUGGGCAACGGAGCGAGACUCCCAUCUCAAAAACAACAACAAAAACAACAACAACAACAAUUCUUCAUUCCUCCUCAUAGCAACCACAAUGUUACUUUCUGUCUCUAUGAAUUUGACUACUCUAAGUACCUCAUAUAAGUAGAAUCAUACAGUAUUUGUCUUUUUAUGACUGGCUUAUUUCACUUAGCAUAAUAUUCUCAAGGUGCAUUCAUGUUGUAGCAUAUGUGAGAAUUCCUUCCUUUUUUCUUUAUUUUUAAGCCUAAAUAAUACUCUAUAGUCUGUAUAUACUACAUUUUGCUUAUCCAUUUAUCUGCUGAUGGACAAUUGGGUUACAUCCAUUGUGAAUAAGGCCAUUAUGAACAUGAGUGUACAAAUAUCUCUUUGAGACUCUGCUUUCAAUUCUUUUGGGCAUAUACCCAGAAGAGAAACUGCUAGAUCAUAUGGUAAUUCUAUUUUUAAUUUUUUAAGGAACUACCAUACUGUUUUCCACAGCAGCUGCAUCAUUUUACAUUCCCAACCUGGAACAAGUGUUCCAGUUUACCCACAUCUUUGUCAACACUUGCUAUUUUCUAUUUUCUUUAAAAUUUUUAUAGUAGCCAUCCUAAUGGGUGUGAGGUAGUUCAACAUAAGUUUAUAUUUCUCUUAGGUAAAUAUCUACUCAUGGGAUUGCUGGGCUGUAUGGGGGCAGCAUCUUCUACUAUGUGCAUCUACAUUGGAUGGCAGUGGAGCAACACAGAUUGUUUUCUGACAAAAAUCAGCCAAGUACUAGGAGAGGCAGGACUUUAGAAGUGGAGGAGAUGGAGAAGGAAGCUUAGGUUACUAUGGAGUGUGCAAAAAGGUCCUGUGGAUUUAGAUACCACCACACACAAAUGCUGUUGUUGGAAGGUACCUGCCCAGAUAAGGACUGCAUUUCCUCUAGCAUCCAGAUGGGACCAAAUGACUGCUGGCCAAUAGAAGUGAGUGGAAAGGACUGACUCCAGUUCCAGGUUGGGCCUCCAACUGCUCUGGGCACGUCGAUGGAACAGAACACCACCUCCACCCCAAUACCACCAAUUCAACUUUACAUGAAUUAUAAGCGAGAAAUAACUUGGACUGUGUUAAGUCAUUGAGUUUCUGGGGUUUAACUGUUAUUAUAGUUAAGAAUGACUUUAACUAAUAUAGUCAAUGACAUCUAACUGGAGUUAUGAAAUUCAAUUUCUACUUAGAGUAAUUGAAGCAAAGGUUGUGGGGGAGGGGAGGAGGGCAGCACACCAUGAAAUCAGAGAUCCCCAGUACGUGUUAGUUCAUCAGUCAAUCAGUCUUAAGGUCAGGGUGUAGUGUGGGCAGCAGUUGCCUCCCUCUCCCCACAGAACACCCUGAGAAUAGGAAGUUAGAGUAGUCGCAUCUUAUUACUUACAAAACAUUACCUCAAAAUGCAAACUACCCCCUGGACCCAAACUCUCUACAAUCACCAGGUUCCAUAAACUAUAAUCUACUCUGUUUUCUGGAAGAAAAUAUUAACCUGUUAAAAUUCCCUGCACAGAGAGGAAACUUUUUCUGGGAGGUAUUCCUGAACUCAUUUUGCCAACUUCCAGAUGAACAAAACUAAAGUUUCUUUUUGCUUCUUCCAAAAACAUAAAUUAUCAAAUAACAUUUAUAACUUGAAAAAGAAUCC
This 3325-nucleotide long non-coding RNA is filed under the name Homo sapiens (human). RNAcentral describes it as "HSALNT0359495". Lineage: Eukaryota; Metazoa; Chordata; Mammalia; Primates; Hominidae. The record is from RNAcentral.